AAGGCAGUGCCUACAUCAAAUAAACCAGCAUAUUAAUCAGUAUUAUCACAGUUAAUAUUCCAAUUAUAGUCAAACAACAUAUUGAUGCGAACCUUGCUCUUGUAAGAGCAACAUUUGUUCUUUGUUCAUCAGCAAGAAAUCCAACAAUGCCUUUCACAUUAGACCUAACUGUUGAUAGUAUGAUAAUAUCAUCUUCUUCUCCUUGGAAACCAUCAACAGACUUUACGCGCACAUGAAAGCCAUCACACGUGUCAUACAAUUUGCCAAGUCUGCUUUCUAUUGAAUCAACUUGAGAACUGUACGGAGAGAUCACACCAAUGCUGAGCAUUUGUCCUUUCCUUUUCCAAGCUUUAAAAAUUGUUUGGAUCAGGUGCAAAACAACAGCAACUUCAACCAGGUUUCGCCAACUGUUUCCAGUGCCCUCUUUUUCUUCCCUUCCAUCACUGAUGUUUAUAAAAGCAUAGGUACCAAAAGGGAGGUUUGUGUAAUCUUUGUUAUAGACAGAGGACAUGACAUUUGGACCAUCUAAAAUCUUCCUCCCAUAAAAUUGAACAUUAGGAAACAAGCUGAUACGAGGAUCCAUGCGAUAUUGUAUAUUCAGCAAAUGUUUUUCAAAAUCCAGUACAACCAAUCUCUCAAAAAGACUAAUUCCAAAUCCAGCUUCUGGCUUUUAACCAUUGGUCUCAGCUGGCAGUCAUCUCCUACUAAAACAACAUGUUUCAGCCAAUGCAGACGUAGUGGAAUAAUCAAUUCACAUUCCCUCACUUGAGCCGCCUCAUCCACAAUUAACACAUCAAGCGGUGCAAUUUCCAUGUGAUGCAAUCGAUACGAGCUAGAGGAGUUCAUUAUGCAUUUCUUUAAAGCUGUGGCUGUCACAUCAAAUUGUGUCUUUAUAAAGUCCAGGAAACAAAUAGGAUCGCUUCUUCCAUCAUCCUCAAGAAGCAUAUCAUACUGAGAACCACAAUCCUCAAAAAAGGAAGCCAUAGAAGCUAUUCUGUAUCUCCACCCAGACAACGAUGAAAAGCAUUCAACAAGUUCAUCAGCACGACAAUCUAAGAAAACAUCUUGAAGGUCCUCAGUGAUGUCCAUAUUAUACUUGUUUCCAAAUAACAAGACAUCACCAAGAGAAAAGGGUAGAAAGUUUUCAUUGGCAUUCUUGUUGAAAUCCCUCAAAAUAUGAAGGAACCGAGUACAAACUCCAACAAUAGCAACAUUUGUGGGUGCACAUGUAAGAGUUCUGCAUUUCAAACAUGCCAAAGCCCAAAGCAAAGCACUAACUGUCUUGGUCUUUCCAGUACCUGGUGGACCCCAUAUAAGUUUCAUGAGAUUCAAAUGCCUACACUGCACUGCUGAGAUAACAGACUCAAUAGCAUCCACUUGCGAUUGAUUAAGAUUAAUUGACAGUAAUUGCUCAGUACAUAAAGCCAAACAGUGCUCAUCCUGUUUAACACAGAUAUCACAAACGUCAUCACCCUAAUAUGUGGGGGCAAAGAGUGACUUGAUUACUGUGAAAUUGUUGUUCAUGCCCAUGUCAAAGCAAAUUGCUUUCCAUAUCCGUAAGUUUGUCAUAAUAUUAUUAAGAAAUAUCGCAUGUCUAAGUCUGUUGAAGCCUUCUUGUAGAGUUACAUCCUUUGCAACUUUCACUCGGAAACCCUUCUGGAAUUCAUCAUCCAUAGAAACUUCAGUAACCAUAGCCAGGCAGUAUGUCACACCAUAGCGGUUCAAGUCAUCUGCAGAUUCAGGUUUCAUACUAGACAAUAUAAAUAUAUCUCCAUUCCUAGCAGUAUAAGCCUCGGAAGAAAAACCAGCCCCGUUAUCCCAGAAGUCCACAUCCAUAAAAUACAAUCCUGAUUUUCCUGCUUCUUCCAUAGACAGUAUCUUAGAAAUGGGUGCUUCUGAUAUGAGCUCAAGACAUGAGCACAGAUCGGAUCUUGUUUCCUCAAUCAGAGGUGCAGCAUAUGUUUUGAAAUAGUGAUCAAGGGACAUGAAACUGCGAGGAAUUUCCUCAACCUACCCUCUGUAGAGGUCGUCGUCCAUGACCUCACCGAGCGACCAGGAGAGCACGAUGUCGCCCAAAUCCCUCUCCCCCAUGUUGCCGCCGCGGCA
Molecule: small RNA, 2106 nt
Filed under: Oryza sativa Japonica Group (Japanese rice)
Lineage: Eukaryota; Viridiplantae; Streptophyta; Magnoliopsida; Poales; Poaceae
Description: sRNA Os04g0599675
Source: RNAcentral